UGUUCCAGGCCCUUUUUUUCUUUGCUGAUUUUACUUUGUAUCCUUUCACUGUAAUAAACCAUAACCGUGAGUACAACCACAAGCUGAGCCCUGUGAGUCCUCCUAGCAAAUCCCUGAAACUGGAAGUGGUCUUGGGGACCCUCAGCACAUUCUCUGCCACCAUGAGACUUUGAUAUGGUGGCAUCUCAGAUUCAGAAUGGAUGGUAGAGCCUACAAGAUAAGACUGGAGGAAAGCCAGAAAAGAUGAAACUCAGAACUCACUUAUCUUCACUUCUUUCUUCUUUCUUUCUUCUCCUUCCUACCAUUGCCUGAGUCUGGAAGGGGGAUCACAUUAUUUACACUGCCACUAUAUCAAAAUUUACUCCCUAAGGCAGGAGACCAUCACAAAGGAGAUCUGCCUCGAGGAAACUAUCAGACUGGCCCAGGAUGGAGAAUGAAGACAGCAAUUUGCUCUGUUCUCUAAAGCUCUGAUUCAAGUUCUCUAGUCUGCCGAAAAUAAAUAAAUAAAUAAUUUGACAUGAAAGA
This 525-nucleotide long non-coding RNA is filed under the name Homo sapiens (human). Its description in RNAcentral is "HSALNT0353025". The record is from RNAcentral. Lineage: Eukaryota; Metazoa; Chordata; Mammalia; Primates; Hominidae.